This is a long non-coding RNA of Scylla paramamosain (green mud crab), 1050 nucleotides long. RefSeq lists it as uncharacterized. The record is from RefSeq and is a predicted model, not a curated record. Lineage: Eukaryota; Metazoa; Arthropoda; Malacostraca; Decapoda; Portunidae. The transcript is spliced from 4 exons.
UUUUGCUGUGUGAUAUUGUUUAUAUGUACUUUUCUAUGUUCUUGUAUAGCUUUUUUUUUUUUCUCUCUCUCCAUAGAUUUUUGUGGUUUAGUGGUUUUAUUAUGUGUGGUUAUGAUUCUACUACUACUACUACUACUACUUUUUAUUAUCUGAUUGUAUUAAUGGCUAUGAUUCUUAACAACAACGACAACAAUUAUAAUAAUGAAAUAAUAGUAAUAAUAAUAAUAGCAGCAACAAUAAUAAUACACCGACCCCACAUUGAUCGCAUUAUUCAUGGAAGGUAAUGCAGUGUCAGAAGAGAAGCGUGGUUGAGAGAAGGAGAGGCGACUUAAAUUUGCGUCUUAACUCAUCGUGACUUUCAUUCCUGCCACAAUGGAUAGCUGGGUGGGUUGGUCAGAGGCGCGCAAGUACAGUGGGGAACCUCAUGGCCACCUGCUCCACCUUGCUGGCUUGCCUUGGAGAUGUGGGCAUGUGUGAAGAGAAUCGAAGAGACAAGACAUGUUGAUUACUAGUUGAGGGGGAGACGUAACCCGAGAUGAUCCCCUUCCCUUUCGGUGUUCACAAAAGAAGACCACGAGAGCGACGCCCAGGCCUGUCCCGAAGAGGAGAAAGGCGCCUUGUAGAUGUGCCAGACCGAGGGGCUGUGGCCUGGACCCUGAGUCGUCCUGUGAUUCAAGCACAUCACUCCCUGCACCACAUCUUUCUGAAUGCAGUGCCAUAACACCACUCACCCCAUCCAUCCCUGAAGUGGGCGGCAGUGCCUGGGUCACCACCUCCUUAAAUGACUGUGGCUGUGCAGGGUACUGUGGGAGAACACCGCUGCCACCACCACCACCACCAGAAAUUGCUGGGCUGUAGGUAGUCUGGCCCUUCUCACCUUGGCUGGCCUCUUCAGGACCCACCAGGCCUCCAUCAAGGAAGGAGAGCUGCUUGAGGAAGGAGGACGAGUGGUUGUUCCAUCGCAGUGACAACAGACCGUCCACUGCCAUCACUGCUUCCCUGCCACCACAACACUCACUAACACUGCCAGCUGGAAAGUAUCACUGCAUC